CAAUAGCGUAUAUUAAAGUUGUUGCGGUUAAAAAGCUCGUAGUCGAAUUUCAAUUAUUGUCAGCGAUUUAGUCUACUAGGCUUAAUUCGCGGACAUAAUUUAUCUCUUCGCGAGAUAUUAUUACUUUGAGGAAAUUAGAGUGUUUAAAGCAAGCGAUUGUUUUGAAUAAUUUAGCAUGGAAUAAUGAUAUAGGACCUUAUUUUAUAUUCAUUGGUUUUACGAAAUGAGGUAAUGAUUAAUGGAAACAGACAGGGGCAUUCGUAUUUAACUGUCAGAGGUGGAAUUCUUGGAUUUGUUAAAGACGAUCAACUGCGAAAGCGUUUGCCAGGAAUGUCUUCAUUGA
This 343-nucleotide ribosomal RNA is filed under the name uncultured eukaryote. Its description in RNAcentral is "partial 18S ribosomal RNA". It matches the Rfam family "Eukaryotic small subunit ribosomal RNA", at positions 592 to 976 of the family's 1831-position model. The record is from RNAcentral.